Molecule: ribosomal RNA, 872 nt
Filed under: Escherichia coli
Lineage: Bacteria; Pseudomonadati; Pseudomonadota; Gammaproteobacteria; Enterobacterales; Enterobacteriaceae
Description: partial 23S ribosomal RNA
Rfam family: Bacterial large subunit ribosomal RNA
Source: RNAcentral
GUACACGGUGGAUGCCCUGGCAGUCAGAGGCGAUGAAGGACGUGCUAAUCUGCGAUAAGCGUCGGUAAGGUGAUAUGAACCGUUAUAACCGGCGAUUUCCGAAUGGGGAAACCCAGUGUGUUUCGACACACUAUCAUUAACUGAAUCCAUAGGUUAAUGAGGCGAACCGGGGGAACUGAAACAUCUAAGUACCCCGAGGAAAAGAAAUCAACCGAGAUUCCCCCAGUAGCGGCGAGCGAACGGGGAGGAGCCCAGAGCCUGAAUCAGUGUGUGUGUUAGUGGAAGCGUCUGGAAAGGCGCGCGAUACAGGGUGACAGCCCCGUACACAAAAAUGCACAUGCUGUGAGCUCGAUGAGUAGGGCGGGACACGUGGUAUCCUGUCUGAAUAUGGGGGGACCAUCCUCCAAGGCUAAAUACUCCUGACUGACCGAUAGUGAACCAGUACCGUGAGGGAAAGGCGAAAAGAACCCCGGCGAGGGGAGUGAAAAAGAACCUGAAACCGUGUACGUACAAGCAGUGGGAGCAUGCUUAGGCGUGUGACUGCGUACCUUUUGUAUAAUGGGUCAGCGACUUAUAUUCUGUAGCAAGGUUAACCGAAUAGGGGAGCCGAAGGGAAACCGAGUCUUAACUGGGCGUUAAGUUGCAGGGUAUAGACCCGAAACCCGGUGAUCUAGCCAUGGGCAGGUUGAAGGUUGGGUAACACUAACUGGAGGACCGAACCGACUAAUGUUGAAAAAUUAGCGGAUGACUUGUGGCUGGGGGUGAAAGGCCAAUCAAACCGGGAGAUAGCUGGUUCUCCCCGAAAGCUAUUUAGGUAGCGCCUCGUGAAUUCAUCUCCGGGGGUAGAGCACUGUUUCGGCAAGGGGGUCAUC